Molecule: ribosomal RNA, 514 nt
Filed under: uncultured bacterium
Lineage: Bacteria
Description: partial 16S ribosomal RNA
Rfam family: Bacterial small subunit ribosomal RNA
Source: RNAcentral
UGGGGAAUAUUGCACAAUGGGCGCAAGCCUGAUGCAGCCAUGCCGCGUGUGUGAAGAAGGCCUUCGGGUUGUAAAGCACUUUCAGCGAGGAGGAAGGUGGUGAACUUAAUACGUUCAUCAAUUGACGUUACUCGCAGAAGAAGCACCGGCUAACUCCGUGCCAGCAGCCGCGGUAAUACGGAGGGUGCAAGCGUUAAUCGGAAUUACUGGGCGUAAAGCGCACGCAGGCGGUUUGUUAAGUCAGAUGUGAAAUCCCCGGGCUCAACCUGGGAACUGCAUUUGAAACUGGCAAGCUAGAGUCUCGUAGAGGGGGGUAGAAUUCCAGGUGUAGCGGUGAAAUGCGUAGAGAUCUGGAGGAAUACCGGUGGCGAAGGCGGCCCCCUGGACGAAGACUGACGCUCAGGUGCGAAAAGCGUGGGGAGCAAACAGGAUUAGAUACCCCUGGUAGUCCACGCUGUAAAACGAUGUCGAUUUUGGAGGUUGUGCCCUUGAGGCGUGGCUUCCGGAGCUAACG